GACGAACGCUGGCGGCGUGCUUAACACAUGCAAGUCGAACGGAAAGGCCCUGCUUUUGUGGGGUGCUCGAGUGGCGAACGGGUGAGUAACACGUGAGUAACCUGCCCUUGACUUUGGGAUAACUUCAGGAAACUGGGGCUAAUACCGGAUAGGAGCUCCUGCUGCAUGGUGGGGGUUGGAAAGUUUCGGCGGGUGGGGAUGGACUCGCGGCUUAUCAGCUUGUUGGUGGGGUAGUGGCUUACCAAGGCUUUGACGGGUAGCCGGCCUGAGAGGGUGACCGGCCACAUUGGGACUGAGAUACGGCCCAGACUCCUACGGGAGGCAGCAGUGGGGAAUAUUGCACAAUGGGCGGAAGCCUGAUGCAGCAACGCCGCGUGCGGGAUGACGGUCUUCGGGUUGUAAACCGCUUUCGCCUGUGACGAAGCGUGAGUGACGGUAAUGGGUAAAGAAGCACCGGCUAACUACGUG
This 468-nucleotide ribosomal RNA is filed under the name uncultured bacterium. RNAcentral's name for it is "partial 16S ribosomal RNA". It matches the Rfam family "Bacterial small subunit ribosomal RNA", at positions 28 to 507 of the family's 1533-position model. The record is from RNAcentral.